Molecule: non-coding RNA, 1332 nt
Organism: Manis javanica (Malayan pangolin)
Lineage: Eukaryota; Metazoa; Chordata; Mammalia; Pholidota; Manidae
Source: RefSeq, a predicted model, not a curated record
ACAAGCUAGAGAGGGAUGCACACAUGCUGGUUCCCAGGAGGAGAAUCAUUAGGAAUAAUUAUACUAAUUAUAUGCCUCCACAAAGGACCCCAGGGAACAGGAUCCAGUGGGACAAGAGGUUUCAAGGAACUAAUCUGGAAGCCAUCUGAUAGCUCUGCCCUGACCACUUGUGAGAGGAACAGGCCACAAACAGAAAUACAGGUCUCCAGUAUGCAGAACUACAUUGACAUGGAGCAUGGUGGCUGUAUCCAAGUCUAAAACAGUUGGGAGUUUUUUUUAGAAGAUAUUCACAUUCAUCACAAGCAUCACUGGAGAGCUGUGGGCAUUAUAAAAAUCCAGACACUCUCAUUUUCAGGCUCGGCUGGUCUAUUGCUAUUGGAGGGAGUAAAGGGAACCCUCAAAGAGGAAGAAAAAAGAGGAAGGAGCACAGAAUAAAGGUAAAAAGUAAUUUCCUUAGGGCACAUGUGGACAAAUAAAAACUUAGGUUUUAUCUAUGUCCUGGGAUUGCCUCAAAUCUCAUCAGCCCUAACCUGGUUCUACUGCAGGAAGAUGAAUGGACUAGGAGAUAAGAUGUUUGAGUAUUUCAUCCUAUCUUCUUUUCAUUGAACAUGUAAUGCAGGCCAGUCCUUGUGCAAAUAUUUUGUAUAUGUUCUUUCAUCCAUUUCUCACAACAGCUCUUUAAAAUAAAUACUACUCUCCACUAUGUAAGUGAUGUAAAAAUGGUGGCUCAGAGAAAUUAGGUGGCUUGUCAAAGGUCAGCAGUAUAGCUAAAUCUACUUGUCUGAGUCAGACAUAUACCAGUCAUUCUAUGUUGUUUCUAAAAUCAGAGUUCUGGAGAUGAUUAAGAGCACUACAAUUAUUAAUGACAGCAAUUAUUUAAUGAGUUUCUACUUUGUGUAGUCAUUGUACUAAACCCUUUACAUGCACUAGACAAUUUAAUCAUUACAAUAAUCCUAUAUACUGUGGGCCAUUACCCUCAUUUUAUAAGAGAAGAAAUCACAGAUCAGGUCAGUUAAAUUCAUUAUUACAAGUCACAUUUCUGAGUGAAGAUUUGGGCUGGUGUGGGUCACUCUGAGGUCCAUGUUUUCAACCACUUUGCUAGUGAUUCUUGACUUUCAUGGGCUCCUAGACUCCUGUGAGAAUCAAAUAAAAGUUACGAAUUCUCACCUUUUACGAAUAACUACUUGCACCCUGGUUUCCCCAAAGCUGUAUAUUUGGACCAGAUAAUUCUUUGUGGGGGAUGAGGGGAAGUCAUGUACUUUGCAGGAUACUUCAUGUGCCCACUAAAGCAUAUCCAUGAUUUCCAGGGGGUCCAGUAGUUGAGCCCCUGCU